RNAcentral lists this long non-coding RNA (639 nucleotides) under Equus caballus (horse). Its description in RNAcentral is "lncRNA (ENSECAG00000056742.1)". Lineage: Eukaryota; Metazoa; Chordata; Mammalia; Perissodactyla; Equidae. The record is from RNAcentral.
UGCUUUCCAUUAGUUAUCAUCUUGUGACAUAAGACAUUGCUCACUCAACAAAUACUUAUGAUGUUGUCAAUCCCUAGCCUUAUGCUGUAUGCUGAGGACAUUGAGAUGAGUCAGAUUUAUCAGUGCCCUCAAGGAGGUGACAGUCUCUAUAAGGCAGUCACAAGAAGAAUCAUGUAAACACAUAAUUAUAAUGCAACACGGCAAAUGAUGAUUCAGUGGAUGUUUCUACAGAGUCUAGGGAAUCUUGGAAGAUGGAGAGGGAGUUUGGGAAGGCUUCAAGAAGAAGAUGAUAUUUAAACUCAGAGAGACCACAGUGUUCUGCUUGGACUCCAGAACUCUGCUGUGGUCAGUUGGAAAACUUUCCUGGGGCAGAGAUUUGGGCAAUCACGAGGCUCAUUUGGCCGCUGACACAGAAUACAUCAACGAUAGGCCAGAUGUAAUUGAAAAACAAGAAGAGAAGUUUAGAGACAAGAUUGAACGUCAGUCCCCACCCUCCCCCAGCAACCCCGCCAACGCCAGUGUUACCAUCUACUUUGCCUCCGUCACAUUUGAAUAAGUGCAGAAGGUCACAGAUGAUGUGCUGAAGUGCUAUUUUUAACAUUUCUAAAUGGGUGCCACAGAUUGUAUGCAUUAGAAAAU